GACGAACGCUGGCGGCGUGCUUAACACAUGCAAGUCGAACGGAAAGGCCCUGCUUUUGUGGGGUGCUCGAGUGGCGAACGGGUGAGUAACACGUGAGUAACCUGCCCGUGACUUUGGGAUAACUUCAGGAAACUGGGGCUAAUACCGGAUAGGAGCUCCUGCUGCAUGGUGGGGGUUGGAAAGUUUCGGCGGUUGGGGAUGGACUCGCGGCUUAUCAGCUUGUUGGUGGGGUAGUGGCUUACCAAGGCUUUGACGGGUAGCCGGCCUGAGAGGGUGACCGGCCACAUUGGGACUGAGAUACGGCCCAGACUCCUACGGGAGGCAGCAGUGGGGAAUAUUGCACAAUGGGCGGAAGCCUGAUGCAGCAGCGCCGCGUGCGGGAUGACGGCCUUCGGGUUGUAAACCGCUUUCGCCUGUGACGAAGCGUGAGUGACGGUAAUGGGUAAAGAAGCACCGGCUAACUACGUG
This 468-nucleotide ribosomal RNA is filed under the name uncultured bacterium. RNAcentral describes it as "partial 16S ribosomal RNA". It matches the Rfam family "Bacterial small subunit ribosomal RNA", at positions 28 to 507 of the family's 1533-position model. The record is from RNAcentral.